This 76-nucleotide transfer RNA is filed under the name Escherichia phage vB_Eco_F26. Its description in RNAcentral is "tRNA-Arg". The record is from RNAcentral. Lineage: Duplodnaviria; Heunggongvirae; Uroviricota; Caudoviricetes; Pantevenvirales; Straboviridae.
ACCCAGGGCCACCAAAUUAAUUUGGGGAGUUAUCCCGUAGAGGUAGCGGUGUGGACUGUAAAUCCAUUGUCAUUGC